CCUACGGGGGGCAGCAGUGAGGAAUAUUGGUCAAUGGCCGGAAGGCUGAACCAGCCAUGCCGCGUGAAGGUCAGGGACCUAUGGGCGUUAAACUUCUUGUGUGCGGGAGCAAGAAUGGUCACGUGUGGCCAGACGAGAGUACCGUACGAAUAAGCAUCGGCUAACUCCGGGCCAGCAGCCGCGGUAAUACGGGGGAUGCAAGCGUUAGCCGGAUUUAGUGGGGUUAAAGGGUGCGUAGGAUGUGAGGUAAGUCAGCGGUGAAAUGCCCCCGCUCAACGGGGUGAAGUGCCAUUGAUACUGCCUUGCUGUAUUGCGGAUGCCGUGGGAGGAAUGUGUGGUGUAGCCGU
This 347-nucleotide ribosomal RNA is filed under the name uncultured bacterium. RNAcentral describes it as "partial 16S ribosomal RNA". It matches the Rfam family "Bacterial small subunit ribosomal RNA", at positions 338 to 682 of the family's 1533-position model. The record is from RNAcentral.